This 461-nucleotide unclassified non-coding RNA is filed under the name Hevea brasiliensis (rubber tree). The record is from RNAcentral. Lineage: Eukaryota; Viridiplantae; Streptophyta; Magnoliopsida; Malpighiales; Euphorbiaceae.
UUAUCCGGGCUUGAGACCGACUAAGCACAAACUACUUAAGCAGAGUUUCCACCCAAUGGAAGUCCACUGACAUAAAAUCAAAAAAUCAUGUUACCAUAUAUCAUAUGUCAUGAUGAGAGCACAUAAGUCUGCAGCAGCUAGUGGUCAUGGCUUAAACACAAAACUUCUCAUCAAGCUUUUAUUUGCUUAAACAUAGUCUUUGUUCAGAAUUUCCAAUACUUUAAUCCACCACGUCUUUAAAAUAGCCAUUUUUCAAGUGGUCAUAAUUGUGGUAAAAAUAAGACAGCUCUAUUGUAUGAUUUAUCAAUGUCUGCUGGUCAAAAUCUACAUAACAAACCAAAAUGCAAUGGCAAUCAGUAAAAUGAAAAACAGGACACAAUGCAGCCAACCAAUCUCUCACAUCUGCAUUUGGAUACAAGCACAUGCACUUAGGCAAAUCAAACCUGAAUCUCCUUUCUGUU